GACGUAGGAGGCGAGCGUUGUCCGGAUUCAUUGGGCGUAAAGAGCGCGCAGGCGGCUUGGUAAGUCGGAUGUGAAAUCCCGAGGCUCAACCUCGGGUCUGCAUCCGAUACUGCCCGGCUAGAGGUAGGUAGGGGAGAUCGGAAUUCCCGGUGUAGCGGUGGAAUGCGUAGAGAUCGGGAAGAACAUCGGUGGCGAAGGCGGCCAGCUGGGCCAUUGCUGACGCUGAUGCGCGACAGCGUGGGGAGCAAACAGG
This 253-nucleotide ribosomal RNA is filed under the name uncultured bacterium. Its description in RNAcentral is "partial 16S ribosomal RNA". It matches the Rfam family "Bacterial small subunit ribosomal RNA", at positions 524 to 776 of the family's 1533-position model. The record is from RNAcentral.